This 1449-nucleotide ribosomal RNA is filed under the name Triticum aestivum (bread wheat). RNAcentral describes it as "partial small subunit ribosomal RNA". The record is from RNAcentral. Lineage: Eukaryota; Viridiplantae; Streptophyta; Magnoliopsida; Poales; Poaceae.
AUGGGGAAGGCGGGGAGGUGGCUCAGGAACUUCUUGGCCGGCGGCAGGAAGGAUGGGAAGAGGGACAGGCCGCACGCCGAGGCCACGCCGGGACCGGGGCCUGGGGCGACGCCCAAGGAAAAGAGGUGGAGCUUCCGGCGGCCGGUGGUGCUGACGCCGGAGCAGACUGGACGCGUCGUGCUGCCGGCUGAGGCCGACAGCUUUGGUGCGUCUCGGUCGUCCGCGACAUCGCAGGUUGGGUACGACGAGAAGAAGCACGCCGUGGCGGUGGCUGUGGCGAGCGCGACCGCCGCAGACGUGGCGGGCGCCGCGGCGCAGGCGGCGGCCACUGUGGCACGUCUGUCUUCCCGCAAGGCGCCGCACCUGACGCCGCCGGCGAGCCUCCUCGCCGAGGCGGCGGCGGCUGUGAGGAUUCAGGCAUCCUUCAGAGGCUAUCUGGCGAGAGCGGCGCUGUGCGCGCUGAGGGGCAUCGUGAAGCUGCAGGCGCUGGUGCGCGGUCAGCUGGUGAGGAAGCAGGCCAAGGCCACGCUCCGGUGCAUGCAGGCCCUGCUCGCGGCGCAGUCCCAGCUGCGCGCGCAGCGCAUGCGCUUCCUUCAAGUCCAAGACCACCACGCCCACCACACAACGCCGCCUAGACCACGACCGUCGUCGCAGCACUCGAGGCACCGCAGAUCGUCCUACGAGAUGGACCGGUCGAGCGAGGAGAAUAUGAAGAUCGUCGAGAUGGACAGCGGCGAGCAGCCAGCGCGGCGCGGCGGGGCGAAGGGCGGCGACAGGCAGUUCUCCUCCGUCGAGUACCACCACGGCGGCAGGUGCUCGCCGGCGCCGUCGGCCAUGACGGAGCUGAGCCCGAGGGCGAGCAGCUGGCACGUGGAGGACCACCUGUCCUUCGGGACGGCGCACAGCAGCCCGCACUCCCACUCCCACAACGCGACGGCGGCCAUGGCGGAGCCAGCGGCGUCGGACUUGCCGUUCCCGAGCUACAUGAGCAACACCGAGUCGUCGAGGGCCAAGGCGCGGUCCCAGAGCGCGCCGAGGCAGCGCGCGGCCGCGGAGGCGCUGGAGCGGCAACCGAGCAGGAGGAAGGGGGCGGAGCACAGGAGCGUGCCGCGGGGCGCCAGGAUGCAGCGGUCGUCGUCGCAGCAGCAGGCCGGGUCGGCGCCGCGCCAGUCGCCCUUCUUCCACCGGCCGUGGUCGUCGUCGACGUCGGUGAGGCUGGACACGUCGACGGCGUCGCUCAAGGACAGCGAGUGCGGGUCCACCACCAGCUCCGUGGUCACCGCGGCCACCACCGUGUCCACCGUCUACAGCCGGACCCGCUCGCUCGUCGGAUUCGAGGUGACAAUUCUACACUCAAGCAUCUUACGGAUCGAUCAACUGCACAUAACCACUGCUGUUAUUUUAUCGUGGCAUAUCUUUUUUUUUCAGGUGCGCAGGAGCCUGUAUUGA